GUCUACGGCCAUGCCACCCUGAGCAAGCCUGAUCUUGUCUGAUCUUAGAAACUAAGCAGAGUCAGGCCUGGUUAGUACUUGGAUGGGAGACCACCUAGGAAGACCAGGUGCUGUAGACC
RNAcentral lists this ribosomal RNA (119 nucleotides) under Pteropus alecto (black flying fox). The record is from RNAcentral. Lineage: Eukaryota; Metazoa; Chordata; Mammalia; Chiroptera; Pteropodidae.